UAAAUUUUUGCCGAGCUACACAUGCAAGUCGAACGGCAGCACAGUAAGAGCUUGCUCUUAUGGGUGGCGAGUGGCGGACGGGUGAGGAAUACAUCGGAAUCUACUUUUUCGUGGGGGAUAACGUAGGGAAACUUACGCUAAUACCGCAUACGACCUUCGGGUGAAAGCAGGGGACCUUCGGGCCUUGCGCGAUUGAAUGAGCCGAUGUCGGAUUAGCUAGUUGGCGGGGUAAAGGCCCACCAAGGCGACGAUCCGUAGCUGGUCUGAGAGGAUGAUCAGCCACACUGGAACUGAGACACGGUCCAGACUCCUACGGGAGGCAGCAGUGGGGAAUAUUGGACAAUGGGCGCAAGCCUGAUCCAGCCAUACCGCGUGGGUGAAGAAGGCCUUCGGGUUGUAAAGCCCUUUUGUUGGGAAAGAAAAGCAGCGGGCUAAUACCUUGCUGUUCUGACGGUACCCAAAGAAUAAGCACCGGCUAACUUCGUGCCAGCAGCCGCGGUAAUACGAAGGGUGCAAGCGUUACUCGGAAUUACUGGGCGUAAAGCGUGCGUAGGUGGUUGUUUAAGUCUGUUGUGAAAGCCCUGGGCUCAACCUGGGAACUGCAGUGGAAACUGGAUGACUAGAGUGUGGUAGAGGGUAGCGGAAUUCCCGGUGUAGCAGUGAAAUGCGUAGAGAUCGGGAGGAACAUCCAUGGCGAAGGCAGCUACCUGGACCAACACU
RNAcentral lists this ribosomal RNA (720 nucleotides) under Stenotrophomonas sp. LL45. RNAcentral's name for it is "bacterial SSU rRNA". It matches the Rfam family "Bacterial small subunit ribosomal RNA", at positions 30 to 741 of the family's 1533-position model. The record is from RNAcentral. Lineage: Bacteria; Pseudomonadati; Pseudomonadota; Gammaproteobacteria; Lysobacterales; Lysobacteraceae.